Molecule: long non-coding RNA, 5139 nt
Organism: Apus apus (common swift)
Lineage: Eukaryota; Metazoa; Chordata; Aves; Apodiformes; Apodidae
Exons: 4
Source: RefSeq, a predicted model, not a curated record
GCCAAGUGUCUUUCAAGCUGCCUUUAUCUGUCUCUACUUCUCUUCCCAGGAAGAGUUUUUUCAACAUCACAGGAAGCAGCAAAAGAGAUGAGAAUUCUCUCUUCUUCCUUGAAGUAGAACCACAGUUAACAGGUGGAUCCACAGUCCAGUAGAUCUCAGAGUGAAAAUAUUUUCAUCUAAGAAAAUACAUGGCUGUUCCAUUUAUGGGCAGUCCGAGAAAGCACAUGUGAUGGAUAUGGCUGGAUACUGAACCAUGGACUUGCCUGAGGAUCUCUGGCCUGUGAUUGACCCCGGUUGCCAUCACUGGACCUGCCCUGCUCUCCUUGCUCAGACAGGGUGGGACUGUGCCCCUGCUGGUGAGGACACUGCCCUCCCACCUCCCUGUCACCCUGGCUCCCAGCUCUCCUUCCCUGGGGAGCAGCCUGCUCUUGCUGCUCCCUAACAGACACCUCUCAGACUUCAAUUUGUCUGCAAAAUUAUGGCCUUCUUGUCAAAAAGAUAUCUUUGUUAUUUUCUGAAGGCUGCCCUGGGCAUCUGUGGUUUGCUGAAAACCUCAUUUGUUCCCAUCACUGAGGUAUUCUGGGGAGAUAAUUUCUGUACUACUGGAAGCACAUGCCUUCUUGUAAGUAAUGGCAGAUGGCUUACCAGGGAAAGUGAUGUUUUUAAGGUCAUUAAUCAUUCCAAAAGUUGAACAUGCAGAGGAAAUCCAAUUCACGAUAAUUUGCAUAGAUUCCUGGGAAUGAGCAAUCAGGCUAUCAUUGUCAGCAGACAGAUAAGACAGUCUUGUUCACAAAAAUUGCAUUUAACAGCUCUCCAUCAAGCCCUGAAUCUAAUCUGGAUACCUGAAGCAUGUAGGAACCAACUGAGAGUAUUGUGAAAAAAAUACAUACUAAGCAGUGUUAGUGAGAUGACACUGCUCAGUGCUAUGGGAGGAAGUGAAUUAAAAGCUCAAGAAAAUUCCAGUCCUCCCUUAAUUCCAUAAUGAAACAGUCUAGAACUCAGAAUGAAUUAUCUAAGCAGCCCACCCUAAAGUAAAGAUUCUGCUGACAGUGUCAAAUGUUACUGUCAGGUCAACAAAGAUGGAUCAGAAAUGAAAGACCUCUUUAUAUUUCUGUCCCAUGUGCUAGCUACAAAAUAUUAAGCUUGUCUUUAAUUUCACUCUCUGAAACAAAAUUUGCUGUCUAGCAAAAAUCUUUGUUACCUGGCUGAGUAAGGCAGUUAAAUACAGACCUUGCAAUAAUAGUGCCAAGAAUUUUUAAUCGGAGAAUUCUUCAGUCAGGGAAGUGUAUGAAAUGACUGUCUUUUCAUAAAGAUGGACAAAAAGACAAAGUUUAUAGUCUUGGGGUAUCCCUACUUUAUCUUGUGUAAGCAGAAGGAGCUUUCUAAGGAUUAAGAAGUCUCGAAGCCUCUGGACAUCUCAACUGAAAUGAGUAAGUACUUUGUCACCUGAAUUUCUGGGACAGUAAGGAACAGCUAGAGUGAGCUGAUGGGCUGUGAAGGCAGGUGUUCAGUAGCCUUGUAGAUGGUGGUGGAUUGUUUACUGAAUAAACAUUUUAAUGCUGACAUUUAGUUUAAAGAAUUCAGUUCUUUCCAGUCAGAAAGGUAAUCUAUCCAAAAUUCACACCAGGGGUGGAACUGCCAUUAGGAGAACCAUAUUGUAUUUUAAGAACACCAUUAGACUUUAUACCAUUUUGAUUGAAUUGUUAUCACAGCUCAUCUGUUUUCUUGCCAUCUAGGCACUAUGUGUAACUUCAAUUUAUGCUGAAGAUUAUAAAGAUUUUUCCUAGAUGUUGAUAGUCUAUAAGCUAUUUAAGAUUCAUAUACGCAAUAUUUUCCAUCAAGCAAUUUCCUGCAAACUGUCUCAUAGAAAUGGUCUUUAUAUUUCCAGGCCAUUGCAUCAAGAGUGUUCAAAACAUUUAUUUUGAAAACAUUUCUGAAGUGAUUAAACACUGCCAGAAGUUGUAGUGGUGAUAAUUGAGCUUGCAUUGCAAUGCUUUGCCAUUUAGAAAAUUUAUUGUAAUUUAGCUUUUUCAAAGGCUUUUUCCUGAGUUAUUGCAGAGAAAAGAUGAUAGGUAGAGAGGCAGAAUUUUGAGCAGAAAAGAGGAUGGUUUGCAUAACACUACAUUUAUCUUCUAAACUUGGUUUUGAUGCUUCUGCCUUACAGUGACUAAUUAUAUAUCAGUAUUUGGGUCUCAGGUGUAACCAAGAAUUAAUUAUUUCUUAUUUAAAUGAUGAGGUAUAGUCUUUAUAGCAAAUUAGUGUUCAGCAGCUUUCCUGAAAUAAUCAGUUAUUACCGUUUCUUCUUCUGUGUCCAUUCUUUUAAAUAAUAUUCUCUCAGGCAUUCUGGUCACCCCGAACACUGGAAGCAUCCAAAAUAGAUUUGCAUGCCAUCCUGAGUCCAAAGAAUUGUGUAUUGUAGUUGUGCAUACACUUUGUUUUGAUCUCAUUAGGUUUUCUCAUGACACUGAGAAGUCACUAGAGGUAAGAUUUUCAGACUAGCUAGGUUAUUGACAACAGUAGACCAAAGAGUAAACUGUGUAAUUUGUGGUGACAAUACAUAAAAAAGGUAUAGCUGACAGAGGUUGCUGUCAGCAAUCUCAUUGCUGCUUCAGGUGCCUAUAUGCAAUAUUUUUACAGUUAUAUUCCCUGCAUAUCAUCAACGUGUGCUUUACUGUAUAUCUGUUGUCACAGGAUACAGACAUAAUGAAUAAAGAAUAAAGAAGUUACUUUCCUGAUUGCAUUAGUAUUCAAUUAGCUUGCCAGAAUACUGCAGGAGUCAGUUUGCAUGUGAAUUUGAGACAACUGAAGUGGAAAUUUACCUGUAAGUUAAUGUUUAAGCUGAUGGAAUCUGGUGGAGUUCGAUAUGAAGUUGCCAGGCCCAAGGACUGUUCUCUUACAGCAGUUCAUGGGUAACCUGGACCAGGACAAUGCUGUAAAAGACCUGCUGGAUUAUAUUCAAUGGUGAGCAUGGACGAAGAAUGCUUAUUGUGGGAUGUACAUAGCUCUGUGCAACGAUGUCAAGACAGAAGCAAUUUCUAAUAUGAACAGAAGCAGAACUGGAUCAGUGUCAAAACGUUGGUGUUCAUGUGGACUUAUAACCUUCCAAAUCAGUCAGCAGCUGAAAAGAUGGCUUUAAAGAUUCCUUUUGUGGACAUAAACAUCAAAAGCAGGAAUUAGUGUGACUUCAGGGCUUAUUGUUUCUACAAAGCAAUCUUUUUCCCCUGUCUUUAGAGCUGGUAUAGCAAAACUCUCUUGAACCUCCCCAGCCAUAAACUAAAGUUUUGUUUACCAUCAACCAAGAUCAUUUGAGUAUUUUACCUCUUCUAAUGUGGAAGCUGAAACUAAAGGUAUUCAGUCUAGGAAACAAACAAACAAACCACCUUAUAAAAAAAUGACAUCAGAUCACAGAUUUAUUUUUUUUAGGUAUGAGACCCACAGCAAAGGUGUUUUUAUUGUACUUGUCAGUGUACAAUAGGAAAGCAUCUAUGGAAAGGCAAACCAUAAGCAGUAAGUUGUAGAAAUCUUUCAGGCUAUGCAGUCUGAAGGACCACAAAAGCAACUUGAAUGCUAUAUAACCUUUCUGUUUUCCAAGGUAUUGAACAUUUUGUAAAAGGGUGACUGCUCUUAAGGAAAAAGGAUUACAAAUCCAAUGAAGUGUUGUUACAAAAAUCCAUACAAUAUACUUGUGAAAGUGCACCUCAUUAUUGAGUAUGACAGAUAAUUCUUCAGUCAAAAAGGCACUGCUGUGGAGGCUGUGAAGAUAUAUGGAUUGCAUAGAUCAAAGGGAAAUUUUAUGUGAGAUGAAUCCUUCCACCAAAUACAGUCUCUGCUUUGCUCUUUCUCCUAUGAAAGGUUCUGCAACAAGGAGGUAUUGAUGCAAGUUAUUUGUGUGGGGAUGGUUUUAAAUGCUGAACUCUGUGCAUUAUGUGGAACAUUUACAUUCCCCUUGUCAUGAUUGUUGAAAACAACAGCUGUCUUGCUCUCUUCCUCAGCAAAUGGUUUAUUAGGUUGAGUUCAUUUGAAAAUACACAAUGUAUCUCCAUAUUUGAGAUGAAUCUAUGAAAGAAUAAGAAAAGUGAUGUAAGAGGAUAUUACAGACUAAGACAAAUGGAAACUAAAAAGUGUAUUGCUUAUUUUACAAAACAUAGUAAUAAUUCCACUGUUUUAGAUUUGGUUUUUUAUUAAUUAUUUUAAGACAUUAGGUUUGAACCAUAAACUACACUUUCUAUAAACUAGGCUGAAGUGCAAAUGCUCAAUUUUACUGAAGUUUGUCAACUAAAUAUUUUAAAGUGCACCCUAUUUAGUGCAGUAUAUUUAGGAAUUGAAAGAAUUAUACAGAAUUAAUGAAAUCCAUUAGCUAUAACUGAAUUAACUAUGGCUAUUGCAGUGGUAAAUAUAAUAUCAAAGACAAUUUUUGUUUGCUAUUGGAAAGAAAAUAUUGAGUUUCCUGUGAAACAGAACUCAUAAAACAGUAGUUCAAUAGAGCAUUUGGCCAGGAUCUCGCAUAAACAAAUAGAACUCUCUAAGACAAGUAAUGAAAUUAUGUUUUAUGAAUCUCCUGGAAUAAGCAGAAAUCAGACAAACAGAAGCUAAUCAAUCUAGAAAUGCUGUAAGUAGAUUUCUGCUGUUUCAAGGCUUUAGGUUUCUCUCAGAUUCCAGUGACAGGAAGAAGACUACUCUUUGCUGCUCUUUUCCAAAUCUAAUCUAUCAAUAUAUAAAUGACUGUGUAUUGUUUUCAUCCAUCAUUGUGCACUACAAAAUAACAGCAUUUAAACUAUAAAAUAGCACUCUGCAAAAACUUCUUACCUGGAAACUGAAACAAUUUCUUGAACUAUUUCUCCCGGAUGCCAGAUCAUAGAUUAACCAGACAAACAGUCAUGCUGUCUGCAGGUGGCUAAUUAUACAGCUCAUUCCCUGGUUUCUGGCAAUUGUAACUCACUCUGCAGUGCAAAAAUGCAGUUUAGUCUGGGGUGUUUCUGACUAUUAUGAGAACAUCUGAUUUGCUAUGAAUGAAUGUAAAAUUGGAGUGUAAAGUAUAUAUUAUAUAAAUAGAAAUAAUCUAAAAUACAAACUAUAUCAAAAUAUAGUAAACCUGACAUUUAUUUUCAUUUUGCCUGCAAAAACACUCUUAAGAGCCUU